This is a long non-coding RNA of Papaver somniferum (opium poppy), 481 nucleotides long. RefSeq lists it as uncharacterized. The transcript is spliced from 3 exons. The record is from RefSeq and is a predicted model, not a curated record. NCBI's taxonomy places the organism in Eukaryota, Viridiplantae, Streptophyta, Magnoliopsida, Ranunculales, Papaveraceae.
UGCAGUUGGUGAUAUCUCAUCUCAAAGGAGAUGAGUUGAUGAAAACAAACCUUUUUUUUCGUAGGGGUUUUCUUUGUUUUUUAACGCCAUUAUUCUUGGCAUAGGGAUAGCGAAAUCAGAUUGUACAAGACUAUGUAUGUGGAUUAGGGAAGUAAAAUGGCGGAGUGCCCGGUGAACAAGCCAAGUUAUAUGUCCCUGGGGCUGGGUCCGAAGGAUGUUGCUCUUAAAAUAUGCCAUACCUUCACGAAGGUUCCUGGAUGAGGUUGGACCUAUGAAUGUUGAGGUCAAGCAAUGGAAAAUUACUCAUCAUAGAAAACGGAUUAGGAAACCAACUACAAUGAACUCCCUGAAAAUGUGUAUUUUCGAAUUUUUAGAUGUUUACAUUAUACUAUGUGAAGCACUUUUCUUUGUCUUUUUUUUGUAUUGUAUGCCAGAAGAAGUGUUCCCGGCACUAUAUAUCUGGAAGUUUGAUAAAGCCUAU